Molecule: ribosomal RNA, 433 nt
Filed under: uncultured bacterium
Lineage: Bacteria
Description: partial 16S ribosomal RNA
Rfam family: Bacterial small subunit ribosomal RNA
Source: RNAcentral
AACGAACGCUGGCGGCAUGCCUAACACAUGCAAGUCGAACGAGACCUUCGGGUCUAGUGGCGCACGGGUGCGUAACGCGUGGGAACCUGCCCUUAUGUUCGGAAUAACUCCCCGACAGGGGUGCUAAUACCGGAUAAUGUCUUCGGACCAAAGAUUUAUUGCCUUUGGAUGGGCCCGCGUUGGAUUAGCUAGUUGGUAGGGUAAAAGCCUACCAAGGCGACGAUCCAUAGCUGGUCUGUGAGGAUGAUCAGCCACACUGGGACUGAGACACGGCCCAGACUCCUACGGGAGGCAGCAGUGGGGAAUAUUGGACAACGGGCGAAAGCCUGAUCCAGCAAUGCCGCGUGAGUGAUGAAGGCCUGAGGGUUGUAAAGCUCUUUUACCCGGGAUGAUAAUGACAGUACCGGGAGAAUAAGCCCCGGCUAACUCCGUG